AUACGGAGGAUCCGAGCGUUAUCCGGAUUUAUUGGGUUUAAAGGGUGCGCAGGCGGCCAUUUAAGUCAGCGGUUAAAUCGUGGGGCUCAACCCCAUUCUGCCGUUGAUACUGGGUGGCUUGAUUGCGGUCGAGGUUGGCGGAAUUCGUUGUGUAGCGGUGAAAUGCAUAGAUAUGACGAAGAACACCGAUUGCGUAGGCAGCUGGCCAGACCGCAAAUGACGCUCAUGCACGAAAGUGCGGGGAUCGAACAGGAUUAGAUACCCUGGUAGUCCGCACAGUAAACGAUGAAUACUUGUUUUCGGCGAUAUAAUGUCGGAGGCAAAGCGAAAGCGAUAAGUAUUCCACCUGGGGAGUACGCCGGCAACGGUGAAACUCAAAUGAAUUGACGGGG
This 392-nucleotide ribosomal RNA is filed under the name uncultured bacterium. Its description in RNAcentral is "partial 16S ribosomal RNA". It matches the Rfam family "Bacterial small subunit ribosomal RNA", at positions 523 to 918 of the family's 1533-position model. The record is from RNAcentral.